RNAcentral lists this ribosomal RNA (253 nucleotides) under uncultured bacterium. Its description in RNAcentral is "partial 16S ribosomal RNA". It matches the Rfam family "Bacterial small subunit ribosomal RNA", at positions 524 to 776 of the family's 1533-position model. The record is from RNAcentral.
UACGGGGGGGGCAAGCGUUGUUCGGAAUUACUGGGCGUAAAGGGCUCGUAGGCGGCCAACUAAGUCGGAUGUGAAAUCCCCAGGCUUAACCUGGGAACUGCAUCCGAUACUGGAUGGCUUGAAUCCGGGAGAGGGAUGCAGAAUUCCAGGUGUAGCGGUGAAAUGCGUAGAUAUCUGGAGGAAUACCGGUGGCGAAGGCGGCAUCCUGGACCGGCAUUGACGCUGAGGAGCGAAAGCUAGAGGAGCAAACGGG